GCAAACUUCCUCGGGUCAUGG
This 21-nucleotide microRNA is filed under the name Drosophila pseudoobscura. Its description in RNAcentral is "dps-miR-2568b-5p". Lineage: Eukaryota; Metazoa; Arthropoda; Insecta; Diptera; Drosophilidae. The record is from miRBase by way of RNAcentral.